CAUCUAUUGGACCUGGGUUGAUACAGAGAAGAUUAGCACAGCCUCUGCGCAAGGAUAACACACACAUUAGGAAAGCUGAAACUUUU
This 86-nucleotide small nuclear RNA is filed under the name Mus caroli (Ryukyu mouse). The record is from RNAcentral. Lineage: Eukaryota; Metazoa; Chordata; Mammalia; Rodentia; Muridae.